RNAcentral lists this ribosomal RNA (463 nucleotides) under uncultured bacterium. Its description in RNAcentral is "partial 16S ribosomal RNA". It matches the Rfam family "Bacterial small subunit ribosomal RNA", at positions 28 to 507 of the family's 1533-position model. The record is from RNAcentral.
GACGAACGCUGGCGGCGUGCUUAACACAUGCAAGUCGAACGGAAAGGCCUUUUCGGAGGUACUCGAGUGGCGAACGGGUGCGUAACACGUGGGUGAUCUGCCCUGCACUCUGGGAUAAGCCUGGGAAACUGGGUCUAAUACCGGAUAGGACCGCACUUUAGUGUGUGUGGUGGAAAGUUUUUUCGGUGUAGGAUGAGCCCGCGGCCUAUCAGCUUGUUGGUGGGGUAAUGGCCUACCAAGGCGGCGACGGGUAGCCGGACUGAGAGGUUGGUCGGCCACAUUGGGACUGAGAUACGGCCCAGACUCCUACGGGAGGCAGCAGUGGGGAAGAUUGCACAAUGGGCGCCAGCCUGAUGCAGCGACGCCGCGUGGGGGAUGACGGCCUUGGGGUUGUAAACUCCUUUCGCCAGGGACGAAGCGUUUUGUGACGGUACCUGGAGAAGAAGCACCGGCUAACUACGUG